UGAUUUUGUUGCUUUGCAUAGCAUUUUUGCCUUCAGCCUGGACCAGGACUGUGAUCAUCAUAGACAUUAGCCGUGUUUCCACUAUCGGGCCAAAUGAGAGCAUGCUAAUGCGUGCCAGGACCAGUUGCAUUCCCACUGUCACUUCUGGGGCUUCAUUGUGCCUCCUCGGGGCUUUCUCAGGGCCAAUGGCCUUUGGCCUGCCGAUUACCUUUGGGCCAAACAAGUCCAACUGGGGACUGAGGCAGGGUCAAUGUCAAAGGUGGAGUUUUGCCAGGUUGAGUAUCCAGCACACAACGGUACAUAUUCUGGGAAAAUAUUAAAAUUGCGGGUACAGUACAAAUCCGUUAAAACACACAAUGGACAAAGCAAUGCCCAAAUGAAUGGUGUAGUGGGACAUCGUCCCACUGUUAGUAGAGAGACCACUCGGGACACCAGUUACAGUGGCAGUUACAGUUGGUGAGUUGUCAAUGCUAAGUUAUCUUGCUGUUUACAUUCUGUAGGAGAAGAAUGUUGACACAAAGUUUUAUGAGUUAGAAUGAGACUCUCGCAGAAGUUCACGCAAGGGUAGCGCUUGGGAGAGAGGGCGCGAGGGGAAGAUAAACAGAGGGGAAGCACAUGUGUGAUCCAGUGAAAUGGGUUUUAUAUGCCUAUCUGAAUGUUUAAUAAAACAUUGCAUUCACUCAGAAGCUGCAUUGUGUCCUGCAUUGACUGAGGUUCACAGCCGACUGGCAGAUAGCCUAGGACCCAUGAAAUCACGCUCUGUAAGAAUGGUCAGUGGAUCAACGCUAAGCUCACGCACUACCGCAGUAUGAGGAUAGCAGUUUUACACUGGUAGCAGCGGUGGUUGGCUAUAUAUAUUAUUGCUGGGACACUUGUUUGCAGUCGAAUGCUGUGCAUACCAUCACCAUAUCUUGCAAGCGCUGAGAAAUAACCGCUAUGAAUUCUCACGUGCAUCUCCACGUGCAAGUUGGAUUACGUGCAUUUUUUUUUCUCUUUCUUUUUUUUUUACUUACUCUCCCUCCCUCACACGAAAUGGUGGACGAUGAGAACGCAGCUGCAGGAGAGUCAUCACAAGCCAGAGAAAUUGUGAACCAUUUUGAUGUGUGUGCUUCACCACAAAAGGUGUGCGAAGAACAUACGAUCUUGGCAAUUCAUGUUUCUUAAGAACUGUUGCAGGCUUCCAGUUCUGAGAAGAAACCAAGUCAUGAGAAGUCAGUGCUCCAGAUGAAUCCCCUCCACUCAAACAGGCCAGACUGAAAGCUGUGCAUCAGUGCUCUGAGAGCGUCAGUCUGGGCAGACUGGCUUUUUUCCACUAUCUGGAGAGAGUGGAGUCCAUGUGCUGCUUCUGGAAGCUGAAGCACAUUGAGCUCGAGGGUAGACACACAUGUACACCAAAACAUCCCUCAGAUCAGGGUCCUUUGAGCCGAGGUCCUUUUUAGUCUGCCACCACUUUUGGUAGACACUAAAGCAAAAUUUUUGCUCAUGAAACCCUGUGUUUUUGGCAUUGCUUUAGUUCCCCCAAAACCUGGGUUAGUAAUAAAACAUGUAACACUGCUGCUAUCUAGUGGGAGGGUUCCAGCCCAUGUGAAUGAAUGUAGGCUCACAAAAUGACUUUUAAAACUGGUCUCUGUGUCUGUGCACAACCUUGAGCAAAUCACAAAUAGAGCAGUUUAGCAUACUUACAGUAAUUGCAUUUCAAGCCAUAUGUACAAAACCAUGUAUUCAUUAGUAACUGUGACAGGGAUCAACCUUAUGUUCAGGAUG
Molecule: long non-coding RNA, 1764 nt
Organism: Myxocyprinus asiaticus (Chinese sucker)
Lineage: Eukaryota; Metazoa; Chordata; Actinopteri; Cypriniformes; Catostomidae
Exons: 4
Source: RefSeq, a predicted model, not a curated record